CUUGGAGGACAGGAAGGAUGUAAUCUCUCCUGGUAAUAUCUUGGAGGACAGGAAGGAUGUAAUCUCUCCUGGUAAUAUCUUGGAGGACAGGAAGGAUGUAAUCUCUCCAGGUGAUAUCUUGGAGGACAGGAAGGAUGUAAUCUCUCCUGAGAAUAUCUUGGAGGACAGGAAGGAUGUAAUCUCUCCUGGUAAUAUAUUGGAGGACAGGAAGGAUGUAAUCACUCCUGGUAAUAUCUUGGAGGACAGGAAGGAUGUAAUCUCUCCUGGUGAUAUCUUGGAGGACAGGAAGGAUGUAAUCUCUCCAGGUGAUAUCUUGGAAGACAGGAAGGAUGUAAUCUCUCCAGGUGAGAUCUUGGAGGACAGGAAGGAUGUAAUCUCUCCAGGUGAUAUAUUGGAGGAUAGGAAGGUUGUAGUCUCUCCAGGUGAUAUCUUGGAGGACAGGAAGGAUGUAAUCUCUCCAGGUGAUAUCUUGGAGGACAGGAAGGAUGUAAUCUCUCCAGGUGAUAUCUUGGAGGACAGGAAGGAUGUAAUCUCUCCAGGUGAUAUCUUGGAGGACAGGAAGGAUGUAAUCUCUCCAGGUGAUAUCUUCGAGGACAGGAAGGAUAUAAUCUCUCCUGGUGAUAUCUUGGAGGAGAGGAAGGAUGUAAUCUCUCCAGAUGAUAUCUUGGAAGACAGGAAGGAUAUAAUCUCUCCUGGUAAUAUCUUGGAAGAUAGGAAGGAUAUAAUCUCUCCUGGUAAUAUCUUGGAAGACAGGAAAGAUAUAAUCUCUCCUGGUAAUAUCUUGGAGGAUAGAAAGCAUGUAAUCUCUCCUGGUAAUAUCUUGGAGGACAGGAAGGAUGUAAUCUCUCCUGGUAAUAUCUUGGAGGACAGGAAGGAUGUAAUCUCUCCUGGUAAUAUCUUGGAGGACAGGAAGUAUGUAAUCUCUCCUGGUAAUAUCUUGGAAAACAGGAAGGAUGUAAUCUCUCCAGGUGAUAUCUUGGAGGACAGGAAGGAUGUAAUCUCUCCUGAGAAUAUCUUGGAGGACAGGAAGGAUGUAAUCUCUCCAGGUGAUAUCUUGGAGGACAGGAAGGAUGUAAUCUCUCCUGAGAAUAUCUUGGAGGACAGGAAGGAUGUAAUCUCUCCUGGUAAUAUCUUGGAGGACAGGAAGGAUGUAAUCUCUCCUGGUAAUAUAUUGGAGGACAGGAAGGAUGUAAUCUCUCCUGGUAAUAUCUUGGAGGACAGGAAGGAUGUAAUCUCUCCUGGUAAUAUCUUGGAGGACAGGAAGGAUGUAAUCUCUCCUGGUAAUAUCUUGGAGGACAGGAAGUAU
RNAcentral lists this long non-coding RNA (1306 nucleotides) under Salmo salar (Atlantic salmon). RNAcentral's name for it is "lncRNA (ENSSSAG00000112638.1)". The record is from RNAcentral. Lineage: Eukaryota; Metazoa; Chordata; Actinopteri; Salmoniformes; Salmonidae.